Molecule: ribosomal RNA, 247 nt
Filed under: uncultured bacterium
Lineage: Bacteria
Description: partial 16S ribosomal RNA
Rfam family: Bacterial small subunit ribosomal RNA
Source: RNAcentral
UUGGCGACCGGCGCACGGUGGAGUAACGCGUAUGCAACUUACCUAUCAGAGGGGGAUAGCCCGGCGAAAGUCGGAUUAAUACCCCAUGAAACAGGGGUCCCGCAUGGGAAUAUUUGUUAAAGAUUCAUCGCUGAUAGAUAGGCAUGCGUUCCAUUAGGCAGUUGGCGGGGUAACGGCCCACCAAACCGACGAUGGAUAGGGGUUCUGAGAGGAAGGUCCCCCACAUUGGUACUGAGACACGGACCAA